UACGAAGGGGGCUAGCGUUGCUCGGAAUCACUGGGCGUAAAGCGCACGUAGGCGGAUUGCUAAGUCAGGGGUGAAAUCCUGGAGCUCAACUCCAGAACUGCCUUUGAUACUGGCGAUCUCGAGUCCGGGAGAGGUGAGUGGAACUGCGAGUGUAGAGGUGAAAUGUGUUGAUAUUGGAAGGAACACCGGAGGCGAAAGCGGUGUACUGGGGCUGGUCUGACGCUGAGGCACGAAAGCCAGGGGAGCGAACGGG
This 253-nucleotide ribosomal RNA is filed under the name uncultured bacterium. Its description in RNAcentral is "partial 16S ribosomal RNA". It matches the Rfam family "Bacterial small subunit ribosomal RNA", at positions 524 to 776 of the family's 1533-position model. The record is from RNAcentral.